Molecule: non-coding RNA, 186 nt
Filed under: Gammaproteobacteria bacterium
Lineage: Bacteria; Pseudomonadati; Pseudomonadota; Gammaproteobacteria
Description: 6S RNA
Rfam family: 6S / SsrS RNA
About the family: E. coli 6S RNA was the first non coding RNA to be sequenced, but its function was unknown until recently. It consists of 184 nucleotides that fold into an extended hairpin structure with a large single-stranded internal bulge. The 6S RNA specifically associates with RNA polymerase holoenzyme containing the sigma70 specificity factor.
Source: RNAcentral
UGCUCCCUGCGGUGUGCGAUGCAGGUUGGAUAGUCUUUCGACCCUAAAUCUUGACCUUGGGGUUUUGUUCUGUCGGUGGUGUUGUGCAGAUCUGGUUCUGCCAGAAAGCCUACAACUAUCACGGCUUACCCCACCUAUUGCUCUGGUUCGAGAGCAACCAACUGUGACGGCACUAUUGGGGGGCAC